AUUGCCUUUCCAUCCCCCUUGCCCCAAGGAUGAAAGCACAGAGAUCAUGUCCAGGUAUCCUGUCUGCAGGGAAGCCAGCAAGCACAGAGGAUAUUUGAAAAGCUACAAAUAAACAGCCAGAAGGAGAGAUACAUAGGGCGAGGUCUAGAAGGGUCCUGAGCACGGGAGCAUCUGUCCAAGUGGAGUUGCACCCUGCAGGAAUUCAGGAAUCCAGCAUUUUGUCCCCACAUGUCAUCUGUCUCAAAAGAAAUCCCUCAGUGGAGGUCACCUAAGGCUUUCUGGCUGUCAGCCUCUCACCAAAUGCUGCCCCCAAAAGGUUCGACUAUUUUUACCGGACACGGGGAGAGAGCGAGCAGAGGACAAACUGCAAGCAAGACAGGGAGCACACAAGGUUUGCUGAUAGAAAAACAGAAAUAAAGUUGACACACUGGUGAGAAUCUGUGGAUGUCUGUCUCCUGCCGGCUGAUUACCAGGAUGUCAGUUUUUACCACCUAUUUUCUCAGACUGCUGCUGAAGAUACAUGCCAUAUCCUAAGAAUGAAAUUCUUGUUGUUUUGAAGAGAGAGGUUUCGAGACCUAACCCUUUCCCCGAAAACAAAAAUCCCUAAAGAUGAAGGGAAGGCAAAAAUACUCCUGUUUCACGUUUUCUAAGGAACUGGCUGAUAGGAUAAACACGGCGUGAUUCUGACUGUAGCAACUUGACUCCCAUUCAGACAGAAGGAAGUGGAUGACCUGCUUGUAGGGACUUUUGGUGAUGAGCCACGGGAGGGUUGGAGGUGGGUGUGAAGUUUGAAACACCCGAAGAGAGAGCAAGGGGCCUCCUCUCCCAUCACCGUCUCGAUGCUCGCGAGCACUUCGGCUGCGCGCAGCACGUUCUUCGCGCCUGCACUCACAGGAAGGGACAGCCUUGCCCAGUAGGUUCAGACGGCAAUUCUAACGUGAGCCCACAAUGAUUAUGUCAUAAACGCAGAACAUACCACGAGAAAUCAAGACUAACACAGAAACAGAAAAUGUGACCUUGUGAAUACAGCUCUGCUCAGCGCUUCACUGCGGACGGUGAAAGUCAACUCCCUCAACCAUUUUCCCGGGUUUUCUACACCUUGCUGCACAGCGUUUGUACUAAAAACCAAUAAUUUGUCAUUGCUUACCAACAGAGCACUGAGUGAUCCUGCAACUCAGAGCAGAUUUAUUGCCCUAUUAAAAUACACAAUGAGUAUAAAAAUGUUCUUAAGAAAAUGUAACAUUUGACCUGAAGUCUAAGCCCUCC
Propithecus coquereli (Coquerel's sifaka) is the source of this 1266-nucleotide long non-coding RNA. RefSeq lists it as uncharacterized. NCBI's taxonomy places the organism in Eukaryota, Metazoa, Chordata, Mammalia, Primates, Indriidae. The transcript is spliced from 4 exons. The record is from RefSeq and is a predicted model, not a curated record.